This is a long non-coding RNA of Capsicum annuum, 949 nucleotides long. RefSeq lists it as uncharacterized. The transcript has 5 exons. The record is from RefSeq and is a predicted model, not a curated record. NCBI's taxonomy places the organism in Eukaryota, Viridiplantae, Streptophyta, Magnoliopsida, Solanales, Solanaceae.
AUUUUUAGUUUAUAUCGGCAAUACCUCCUCCUUCUAACUCUGAUUUGCAAAAUAUAUGCUACAGUUUUCACAUUUUGCUUUGAAGAUCUUCUUGUGUUCUUAGUCUAUGAAUUUGUGCUUUGAGGAGCUAAUGUGUGUAAGGGUAGUCCGAGAUACAUAUUUACAUUUGUUUAUCAUGUAGGGAGGAGUUUGAGAAGAUUGAAGAUUUUGCUUCCAGACUACCAGUUGAGAGUUGGAACUGUUGCAAACUACAUACGGUACGAUCUGUUGAUGGUUUUCAAGGCGGUGAAGAGGAUGUGAUAAUUAUCUCUACUGUUUGUUGUAACAGCAGUGGAUCAGUUGGUUUUCUGUCGAAUCUUCAGAGAGCAAAUAUUGCAUUGACGCGAGCAAGCUUCUUGUGCAGAUACUGUCUUUGGAUAUUGGGAAAUGGCUCAACGUUGGUUAACAGUGGUUCUGUAUGGAAGAAUCUAGUCGUUGAUGCUAAGGCUCGUGGUUGUUAAUUUGAUGUUACUGAUGGCAACAGAUUGAAUCAGGCAAUUUUGAAUGCAACCAUUGAACUUGACAAGCUCGAUACAUUACUCAGAACGGACUCUCCUAUAUUCGAAUCAGCCCAGUGGAAGAGGUUGAAGAGAAUGAAGGAUGGAGUGAGAGAAAUGAGACAAUGGUGUCACCUUAUGAUUCAAGAAGAAGAAACUUCCCAUGAAGAAAACAGGAUUGUUACGCCAAGUGAUGCGGCUAGUGAACCCGUUUGGCCCAUGGAUGCAAGGAGAUUACGAUGAUAAUGAUCAUAAUGACAUUCUUUGAUUUUGUUGCAUUUGUUUUAGAUAUUCAAUUAUGAUGAUGUAAUUGUGUGGUUGGAGUGAAUCUUAGAAUAUUGAAGGUUUUGUGUUUAAAUUUGAUUUUGUAGUUUGAAUAUACUAGUUAAUGUUGAAAAUUUAGAGUUUGAAGA